Long non-coding RNA from Carassius gibelio (silver crucian carp), 662 nucleotides. RefSeq lists it as uncharacterized. NCBI's taxonomy places the organism in Eukaryota, Metazoa, Chordata, Actinopteri, Cypriniformes, Cyprinidae. The record is from RefSeq and is a predicted model, not a curated record. The transcript is spliced from 3 exons.
AAAACAAAUUCCUUGUAUGUGUAAACAUAAGUGGAAAUUAAGCUCAUUUUGAUUCUGAUUCAUUCUAAUUGGCAUUAUGCAUCAAUUGUAAACUCAGUCCAGUUUGACUGAGGCAGAUUUACUAACAUCUUUUGCCAUUGAAAAGCCUCUUUUGGUGUAAAAAAACAAACAAAACAAAAACCUAGUGUCAGGAUUUAGGGUGAAAAGGCAUGGACGCAGUUGUUUUUGCAACUGACAUCACUGCAUUUGUAUUUGUAGGAGUUUUCAUUUCCAUACGGACUAUCUAAUACGUUUUUCUGUUCUAAUUAUUUGUGUUAAUGUUGAUUUUUCUCUCAGAAUCUCUUCAGGGGAAUCAGAGGAGUAUUGCUGUUAUUUGCCUUGCUAGAGUUUAUCAUCUCCAUCUAUCUGGGAGCACUUGCCCGUAAAAGUAUCACCUGCAGUUCUCGUCCUCAGGUGCAGUUUGUUUCUCUACCACCAGAGCCCUCUGAUUUCAGGCCCUUUCAUUUCCAUGAUAUUCAAAGUUCAGAGAUACCUGUGGCCAGCAGCUCUUCCAUUCAUGGCCAACCUGCAGAUGAUCCUCCACAAUACAGUGAAAUAUGAAUUUAACACAUUUAACAUUUUCAUACACAAGAUUGUUUUCUUGUAUAAGCAAUAUUUUAUGU